This 253-nucleotide ribosomal RNA is filed under the name uncultured bacterium. RNAcentral's name for it is "partial 16S ribosomal RNA". It matches the Rfam family "Bacterial small subunit ribosomal RNA", at positions 524 to 776 of the family's 1533-position model. The record is from RNAcentral.
UACAGAGGUCUCAAGCGUUGUUCGGAUUCAUUGGGCGUAAAGGGUGCGUAGGCGGCGGGGUAAGUCGGAUGUGAAAUCCCAGGGCUCAACCCUGGAACUGCAUUCGAUACUGCCUUGCUAGAGUACUGGAGAGGAGACUGGAAUUUACGGUGUAGCAGUGAAAUGCGUAGAUAUCGUAAGGAAGACCAGUGGCGAAGGCGGGUCUCUGGACAGUUCCUGACGCUGAGGCACGAAGGUCAGGGGAGCAAACGGG